This is an RNA transcript of Dipodomys spectabilis (banner-tailed kangaroo rat), 648 nucleotides long. It is a transcript of the gene named ras-related protein Rap-1b-like, with no coding region annotated. NCBI's taxonomy places the organism in Eukaryota, Metazoa, Chordata, Mammalia, Rodentia, Heteromyidae. The transcript has a single exon. The record is from RefSeq and is a predicted model, not a curated record.
UCCGGGUGACAGUGUGAGAGGUACUAGGUUUCGACAAGUUUGCAUCAUGUGGGAGUAUAAGCUGGUUGUUCUUAGCUCAGGAGGUGUUGGAAAAUCUCUCUGUACAGUUUGUUCAAGGAAUUUUUGUUGAAAAAUAUGAUCCUACAAUAGAAGAUUCUUAUAGAAAGCAAGUUGAAGUAGAUGCACAGCAGUGUAUGCUUGAAAUUUUGGAUACUGCAGGAAUGGAACAAUUUACAGCAAUGAGGGAUUUGUACAUGCAAAAUGGACAAGGCUUUGCUUGAGUUUAUUCCAUCACAGCACAGUACACAUUUAAUGACUUACAAGAUCUAAGAGAGCAGAUUCUUCGAGUUAAAGACACUCAUGACAUUCCAAUGAUCCUCGUUGGUAAUAAGUGUGACUUGGAAGAUGAAAGGGUUGUAGGAAAGGAACAAGGUCAAAAUCUAGCAAGACAAUGGAACAACUGUGCGUCCUUAGAAUCUUCUGCAAAAUCAAAAAUAAAUGUUAAUAGAUUUUUUAUGACCUAGUGCGGCAAAUUAACAGAAAAACUCCAGUACCUGGAAAGGCUUGCAAAAAGUCGUCAUGUCAGCUGCUUUAAUAAAUUAAAUGCAUUGUAGCUCUGAGCCAGGUCUGAAGAACUGUUGCCCAAUU